CUCUCAUCUUCAGUCGAGCUGCUCCAGGAUCUCUAACUCGGAGCUCACCAACGGCCCAGAGUGACGGCACGUCCGUUUGUAGAUAAAUUCAUGGUGUCUCAUACAUUUCAAUUGGAGUGUGUGUCCAUGGAAGAGUGUUUGUGUUGCUGUGAGCCAUGAACCCUCUCGCUGUCGUCUGCACUCGGGCGUUUUUCUGAAGCUGGCACAUCCUGCUGAUCCUGCUCAGCUGCUUUGUAGUUCCCCUCACACACUCACACACACACACACACACACACACACACACACACAUUUGCAUCAAAUUUCUGCUAUCUUCAGUGUUUGGGAUCAUUUGCAUGAUGUUGUUUGCUAUCUGACAGGGUGUGCACUUGACUGUGUCGGGACUUAAAGAGGGUCGGUACAUGAAAUCAAGGACGGGGAUCGCUGUGAGGGAUGGAUGGAGGGAGGGAGGAGAGAGGAGAGAGGGAGGGAGACGCAUCUGCUCUUUCCUCUUCAUAACUAAGUCCAAUAUUUCUACGAGAGAAGAAACAUUUCUCUGCACUCUCACACAAAUGGACCUUAUCUGUGCUGAGAGAUUCAGUCGGAGCGGGCCAGAACAUCUCUAAUGUGGUAAUGUCUUUAGGGGAGGAGCCGUUUAAAAGGACAACAUGAAAUAAAUGUAAUACUGAACAUGAUGUCUGUAUGAAGAGGACGGUGUUAUGGUGGAGGAGGAGGAGGAGGAAGAGGAGGAGGAGGAGGAGGAGUGUAUCUGUGAGGAAAUGUUUGAGAUUCAUGUUAAAGUCAUUUUAGAGCUAAACAUGUGUGUACGGUCUGGGGUUCGACAACAGUUCAGGUCACAAUAACUCACAAUUUUCACAACAUCUAGAACGGUGAACGGCGGCUAUUUUGGAUCCGUUUAUGAGGCGAAUUUCGUGGCGGAUUACUGAGCGGAGGAAUCGAGAGAACUCACAAGAACCUGCAGAUUCACCUUCAAUCCUGCGAUAACGAGUCGUCUUUAGCCACAUAGACAUAUAAGCAGUAGAUUGUGUCCUCUGACUGUGGUUUUGGUGCUGGAUCAUCAUGUUAGCAUGGUACACCUGAAGAAACCCAGGAGGACACCCCUCCAGGUGAAACCAGGUCAACGACCCGCUAAUGACUCUCAGGUGACCUUUACCCUCUUUACAGCUGGAGGACCAACAGAGACUCUGGUCCCAGAGACUCGAGGACUGAAGAGGCCUUUUAGGAGAAACAUCUUCAAGAACCUCAAACAAGUCCAGUUACCCUUUCAAUGAAGACCUGGAUCACCAUGACCCGGAUGAAGGACAUUUUUCCAACAUGGCGGCGGCCCUCCACCAUCACAGGACGCCAAAACGUCUCUGAAGAAACCGAAGGCUGAAAGGACGUCAAAGUUUAAGAUCAUCUUUGCUCCAAACCUCAGAAAUAAAGAAACAUCGACCAUAUUUGUUAUUUUUUUAAUCUUUUGUUGUUUUAAAUAUUUGACAGAAAGUUUGAGGUCUUUCCAAAAUAAACUCUUUCUCAUCAGUUUAACGUUUUAAUACGAUCUUCUUCUUCGGUCUUUACCAUGAAAAUAAAACAAUCCCAGACUUCUAAAUGACGUUUUUCUGUUUCGUGAUUCAAAGUCGAUCCAGACUGAAGUGAAACCUCGGCUCAGAUAUUCAUCAGAUUAAAAGAGACUUGUUGGUGACUUCCUCUAAACUAAACUUGACGGUUUGUCCCUUUAAUCAGACGUCUGUCAAACCUCACUGAGGGUCUCUUUAUUCCUCCCUCUGUCAUAUUAGCCGAGCCAAUUAGAGAGCGAUCUGAAAGGUGUGUGCAGAUUAAUGAGGGACAUCUUCACGGGUGCAGCUGGGAGUCGACCUCUCCGAUGGGAAAUGAAUGAGAUCACACGCCGUUUUUCCAGUUGUUGUCUUCAGGUUGAUGAAGCUGGGUGGAGCAGCUGGAGGUAAAUCAUCCACAGAGUGCUCCACAAUGAGACAGCCACACUUGAUCAGGUGUAUUGAUGGCUCUUCUACAACCUCAUCUCCAAUCUGUGAGAGCAGAUUGUUCGGGUACGUUAGCGCCUCGGAAACCGUUUGAUUGGAAGUUGGAGCUGCAGACUGUCACAUUACCGACUGAGGUUGAUGGAUACUGUCGAGUCAUGGAGGGGGGCGGUCCUCCGAGUCUUUAAAGUUUUCUAAACGGUGCAGUUUAUCUGUGUUUCCAGUUCAAUAGACUCAGGAAGGAGAGACAAAGGAGGGAACGAAAGAAGAAGACACUGUUCGCUAAAGUCAGAACUACACCUCUGCUCAGAAAUGUCAAAAAUCAUCGUCAUGGUUACAAUGGUCGAACCGACAUCAGGAUUUUUACAAACGAGUCGAUUUCUGCGUCACGUUCAUGUUCGCAACUUCAAACCUCUUUGGCAGCGGCCGCCAUAUUGGUAAUGUUAAAUCAGUGUUCGACCAGAGGCGGGUCUUCAGCCUCCUGCUGAAUACCUGUCAGUCAAGGCAGGUACGCUUCUGAUUGGUUGAUCUCUUAACAUGAAGACCAUCCAAACAAAACAGACAGUUUUCACUCCAAGAACAAAAGGAGCUCUGAGGACUUCCUGAUCGUCUCCUAAAAGGUCGUAUCCUCCGAUCGUAGCUGAUCGUAACCAUUCAACUUAAUCUGUCCGGCUUCUCUCCGUUCCUCUGCGGAUCGCCGGACUCCUCAGCUGAUCACAAGAGUUCUUCAUUCUAAGUCCCAAGUCCCAAGUCCCAAGUAAGUCCAACUGUCCUUUCCAAAAGAGUGUUACCCCCAACUCGCGAUUCCUGCUGUCCGUAAGUUGCCACGAAAUUCGCCUCACGCACGGAUCCAGUAGGAAUUGGCUGAUGGCAAAAAUCGCAGCUGUUCUGGAUCGGAGCCUGUCUAGAUGUGGUGAAAAUUGGGGGUAAAAGAGUCUGAAGCUGAAUCUAGAGUCUUAGUUCAAAGACGGUUCCUCUGAUUCCUCCUAAAAGCAUUUGAGGCUCCACUUUGGAUCUACAAAAGUCAUUUUCUGAGGCUCCACUUCCUUAAAAAGUUGUUAAAGUUGAAAAAGUUUCAUCUGCAGCUGAAAUCUUCUGACCCUUCAUCAGAGACGAUCAUUGAAAUUCAGUUUUGAAGAGUUUUGAAAAAGGUAAAAUCAUCCCUGAUACUUGACACCGACACCUGAACUCGUCUCAGUUUUUUAAACUCUACAGAUUUUCAUCCUCACUUCUUCAUUUCUUUACUGAGUCGAUCUCUAAGAAGCUUUUUUAUCUCCGCUCGGUGUGUGACCUUUUCAUUUACAGACAGGAAGUUUGAAGUUCACCUUGAAUUUAAUAAAAAUGUCAUGAGUUGAUGUUUUUGCAGCACAGUGACUGACUCCAGCCUCCGUAUAGAUCUAUGUUUAAACGUCUACAUUCAGCCUCUAACAUAGAUGUUCUCCAUCUGGGCUGAACUCCGGCUGACAUCUGCUGGAUUGCAUCCCUGGUCUCCCUGAUAUCUAUACCGGCCUGUUUGAGUGAUUGGAAGGAGGCGCUGCUGCACUCACGCUUCAUCUCAGAGAUCCCCGGAGAGCCCUCCAUCAUCCUCCUCCGCUCGCUCCUCAGCUUCCUCCAUCAGACUCCACCGACUGGAUCACUUCCUGUUUGUUUCUGCUGAAGCUGCUCACCAACAUCUCACAUGUUUUCCUCACUAAUGUAUUUAACACUAGAGCUCUUCUGUAAAGCCUUAAAACACAAAAGCUGGGAAAUGGAAAAGUCUGGGACCUGACUCCGAUGAAACCCGACACCGUGAUCCAGAACCGAGGUCUGGGGUUUGAUAAAAACAGGAUUAUUUAGUCGAGAAGACUGGAGGUCUCAGGUUUGAAAGAAGAUCUCAGGACUAAGAUGGUCCCCAAACCUCCAUUAAUCUGA
Molecule: long non-coding RNA, 3887 nt
Filed under: Xyrichtys novacula (pearly razorfish)
Lineage: Eukaryota; Metazoa; Chordata; Actinopteri; Labriformes; Labridae
Source: RNAcentral